UACGGGAGGCAGCAGGGGGAAUAUUGCACAAUGGGCGCAAGCCUGAUGCAGCCAUGCCGCGUGUAUGAAGAAGGCCUUCGGGUUGUAAAGUACUUUCAGUCGUGAGGAAGGUGUUAAGGUUAAUAACCUUAGCAAUUGACGUUAGCGACAGAAGAAGCACCGGCUAACUCCGUGCCAGCAGCCGCGGUAAUACGGAGGGUGCGAGCGUUAAUCGGAAUUACUGGGCGUAAAGGGCACGCAGGCGGUUAAUUAAGUUGGAUGUGAAAUCCCCGGGCUUAACCUGGGAAUGGCAUUCAAGACUGGUUAGCUGAGUCUUGUAGAGGGGGUAGAAUUCCAUGUGUAGCGGUGAAAUGCGUAGAGAUGUGGAGGAAUACCGGUGGCGAAGGCGGCCCCUGGACAAAGACUGACGCUCAUGUGCGAAAGCGUGGGGAGCAAACAGGGAUUAGAUACCCGU
This 454-nucleotide ribosomal RNA is filed under the name uncultured bacterium. RNAcentral's name for it is "bacterial SSU rRNA". It matches the Rfam family "Bacterial small subunit ribosomal RNA", at positions 340 to 789 of the family's 1533-position model. The record is from RNAcentral.